GAUGAACGCUGGCGGCGUGCCUAAUACAUGCAAGUCGAGCGAACGGACGAGAAGCUUGCUUCUCUGAUGUUAGCGGCGGACGGGUGAGUAACACGUGGAUAACCUACCUAUAAGACUGGGAUAACUUCGGGAAACCGGAGCUAAUACCGGAUAAUAUUUUGAACCGCAUGGUUCAAAAGUGAAAGACGGUCUUGCUGUCACUUAUAGAUGGAUCCGCGCUGCAUUAGCUAGUUGGUAAGGUAACGGCUUACCAAGGCAACAAUGCAUAGCCUACCUGAGAGGGUGAUCGGCCACACUGGAACUGAGACACGGUCCAGACUCCUACGGGAGGCAGCAGUAGGGAAUCUUCCGCAAUGGGCGAAAGCCUGACGGAGCAACGCCGCGUGAGUGAUGAAGGUCUUCGGAUCGUAAAACUCUGUUAUUAGGGAAGAACAUAUGUGUAAGUAACUGUGCACAUCUUGACGGUACCUAAUCAGAAAGCCACGGCUAACUACGUG
RNAcentral lists this ribosomal RNA (497 nucleotides) under uncultured bacterium. RNAcentral describes it as "partial 16S ribosomal RNA". It matches the Rfam family "Bacterial small subunit ribosomal RNA", at positions 28 to 507 of the family's 1533-position model. The record is from RNAcentral.